RNAcentral lists this ribosomal RNA (442 nucleotides) under uncultured bacterium. Its description in RNAcentral is "partial 16S ribosomal RNA". It matches the Rfam family "Bacterial small subunit ribosomal RNA", at positions 338 to 795 of the family's 1533-position model. The record is from RNAcentral.
CCUACGGGUGGCAGCAGUAGGGAAUCUUUCACAAUGGGCGAAAGCCUGAUGGAGCAACGCCGCGUGCAGGAUGAAGGCCUUCGGGUUGUAAACUGCUUUUAUAAGCGAGAAAUAUGAUGGUAACUUAUGAAUAAGGAUCGGCUAACUACGUGUCAGCAGUCGCGGUCAUACGUAGGAUCCGAGCAUUAUCCGGAGUGACUGGGUGUAAAGAGUUGCGUAGGUGGCAUAAUAAGUAGCUAGUGAAAUCUGGUGGCUCAACCAUUCAGACUAUUAGCUAAACUGUUAAGCUCGAGACCGUUAGGGGUAACUGGAAUUUCUAGUGUAGGAGUGAAAUCCGUAGAUAUUAGAAGGAACACCAAUAGCGUAGGCAGGUUGCUGGGACGGUUCUGACACUAAGGCACGAAAGCGUAGGGAGCAAACGGGAUUAGAUACCCCAGUAGUC